AAAAAUGUGAAACAGGCGAUGCAGAAGCAUGUACAAAUAGCAUAAUAUUAUACAAAAGAAAUCGACAUGAGAACAGCAAUAGGUUUUAUUUUUAUUUACGAGCUCUAAUCUGCAUGAAGUGAGAUAAUACCUUUACGAAACUAAGAUUAGCGACGCACAUCGUAGUCGCUCUGUUAUUAGGGCUGCAGGUUUAUUAUAAUUUCGGCGAUGACG
Long non-coding RNA from Wasmannia auropunctata (little fire ant), 213 nucleotides. RefSeq lists it as uncharacterized. The record is from RefSeq and is a predicted model, not a curated record. Lineage: Eukaryota; Metazoa; Arthropoda; Insecta; Hymenoptera; Formicidae. The transcript has 2 exons.